GCAGUUGGGUGGUCCCGGUGCCAAGGCCCACAGGGACUCCGCAGCUAUCACCUGCGUGCUUGCCCGUCAGCCAAUCGUGGGCCCCCUGACUGCGGCACCCUUUGACCCCGGGCCUUCAGGAAUCCAGUCCCGCUCAGCCCAGCAGCCCGGCUCCGCGCCGGUCCCCGCCUCUAGUUGGUAUGGAAACCCACAGUUCGAUGGUAAAUACGUACACUGGAACCAUCCAGUCCUGGAACACUGGGACCCUAGAAUAGCCAAGAACUAUCCACAAGGAAG
This 276-nucleotide long non-coding RNA is filed under the name Rattus norvegicus (Norway rat). RNAcentral's name for it is "long non-coding RNA NONRATT023115". The record is from RNAcentral. Lineage: Eukaryota; Metazoa; Chordata; Mammalia; Rodentia; Muridae.